GUCCACGCCCUAAACGUUGAUUACUCGUUGUUGGCGAUAUACAGUCAGCGACUAAGCUAAAGCGUUAAGUAAUCCACCUGGGAAGUACGACCGCAAGGUUGAAACUCAAAUGAAUUGACGGGGGCCCGCACAAGCGGAGGAGCAUGUGGUUUAAUUCGAUGAUACGCGAGUAACCUUACCUGGGCUUGAAAGUUAGUGACCGCCUCUGAAAGGAGGCUUCUCUUCGGAGCACAAAACUAGGUGCUGCAUGGCUGUCGU
RNAcentral lists this ribosomal RNA (258 nucleotides) under uncultured bacterium. RNAcentral describes it as "partial 16S ribosomal RNA". It matches the Rfam family "Bacterial small subunit ribosomal RNA", at positions 793 to 1055 of the family's 1533-position model. The record is from RNAcentral.